This is a long non-coding RNA of Pseudophryne corroboree (corroboree frog), 1074 nucleotides long. RefSeq lists it as uncharacterized. The record is from RefSeq and is a predicted model, not a curated record. NCBI's taxonomy places the organism in Eukaryota, Metazoa, Chordata, Amphibia, Anura, Myobatrachidae. The transcript is spliced from 3 exons.
UAUACAGUAUGAAAGAGACCCAGCACAGCCAGGACACAAACCACACUGCCAAGAGAUGCGGAUGCUGGCGAUGCAGGAAAUUCCUCAGCACAACACACUCCACAAAGUCGACCUUCACAGGGGUCUGCCAGUCGACAGAAGAGGGGAAGCAAGAGACGGCGUCUUGAGGUGGCAACGACACCCGCAUCCUCUCCACCACAACAGCGCAUCUCCACUGUGACGGCUCAGCCACCAGAAGCCAUUUUGGCCAGUCCGCAAUCCGAUCAACCACAAUCCCCUCAGCUGUCUGAUGCAGACAUCAUGCCCCAGGAUCCCCAACAGGAAACAGACUUGCAGCAAACAUUCACACUCCACCUGCAAGCAAUUGAUAACAACCAGCCAACCACACCGGCUGACAUAACGCCACCACCCCAAACAUCCCCCACCCCCCAAUUGAGCCCAACACCACCCCAGCCACAAAUUCAAAAAACGUUUUGGGACAGUUGUGCCACACAACAGGCCCAAAACCAUGCCUGUCUGCGUACACACAGCUAAUAUCUCGCCAGUCUGCCCCAUCAUCUACCUAGACUCAGUAGAAACUCAAGCACACUGAAUGUGCAACUUGGCAGAGUGGCCAAUACAGUGGAGCAGAUGAGAGCAGACAACAGACAACUUAUAGCUAGUUUUCAGCGCAUAAUGGAUAAGCAACACCGCCAUCAACAAGCCCUCAUUCAAAUCAUACAAAACAAUCAGUUAAUCACCGAAAGCCUGUCCAGAAUCAUCUCCAACAACACAGCCACAACAACACAACUUACAGCAAGCCUAAACAACCUGAGCCAAAACCUAAAUGUGUUGUCAUCACAGCAACAAGGAUCAAGCUCAGGGACCACCACACCUAGCCAGACCCCAGUUCGAAGAUCCAUCAGAACACGGUCCAAUGUGCCAUCCCAAACUUCUGCAGCCAGCAAACAACCCCAUAAGAAAAUUAGCAAUCCUGCAGCAGGAUAGACACUAAUCCCCACUAUAUGACAACAAUAUGGAAUUGUGGUACACACAAAAAAAAGUGUUGUAAGGUAAUAAAUUACUAAAAUGCUA